CUGGUCUGUAACUGACGCUGAGGAGCGAAAGCGUGGGGAGCGAACAGGAUUAGAUACCCUGGUAGUCCACGCCGUAAACGAUGAGUGCUAAGUGUUAGGGGGUUUCCGCCCCUUAGUGCUGCAGCUAACGCAUUAAGCACUCCGCCUGGGGAGUACGGUCGCAAGACUGAAACUCAAAGGAAUUGACGGGGGCCCGCACAAGCGGUGGAGCAUGUGGUUUAAUUCGAAGCAACGCGAAGAACCUUACCAGGUCUUGACAUCCUCUGACAAUCCUAGAGAUAGGACGUCCCCUUCGGGGGCAGAGUGACAGGUGGUGCAUGGUUGUCGUCAGCUCGUGUCGUGAGAUGUUGGGUUAAGUCCCGCAACGAGCGCAACCCUUGAUCUUAGUUGCCAGCAUUCAGUUGGGCACUCUAAGGUGACUGCCGGUGACAAACCGGAGGAAGGUGGGGAUGACGUCAAAUCAUCAUGCCCCUUAUGACCUGGGCUACACACGUGCUACAAUGGACAGAACAAAGGGCAGCGAAACCGCGAGGUUAAGCCAAUCCCACAAAUCUGUUCUCAGUUCGGAUCGCAGUCUGCAACUCGACUGCGUGAAGC
RNAcentral lists this ribosomal RNA (597 nucleotides) under Bacillus subtilis. RNAcentral's name for it is "bacterial SSU rRNA". It matches the Rfam family "Bacterial small subunit ribosomal RNA", at positions 729 to 1326 of the family's 1533-position model. Lineage: Bacteria; Bacillati; Bacillota; Bacilli; Caryophanales; Bacillaceae. The record is from RNAcentral.